GACGAACGCUGGCGGCGUGCCUAAUACAUGCAAGUUGAGCGCUGAAGGUUGGUACUUGUACCGACUGGAUGAGCAACGAACGGGUGAGUAACGCGUGGGGAAUCUGCCUUUGAGCGGGGGACAACAUUUGGAAACGAAUGCUAAUACCGCAUAACAACUUUAAACACAAGUUUUAAGUUUGAAAGAUGCAAUUGCAUCACUCAAAGAUGAUCCCGCGUUGUAUUAGCUAGUUGGUGAGGUAAAGGCUCACCAAGGCGAUGAUACAUAGCCGACCUGAGAGGGUGAUCGGCCACAUUGGGACUGAGACACGGCCCAAACUCCUACGGGAGGCAGCAGUAGGGAAUCUUCGGCAAUGGACGAAAGUCUGACCGAGCAACGCCGCGUGAGUGAAGAAGGUUUUCGGAUCGUAAAACUCUGUUGGUAGAGAAGAACGUUGGUGAGAGUGGAAAGCUCAUCAAGUGACGGUAACUACCCAGAAAGGGACAGCUAACUACGUGCCAGCAGCCGCGGUAA
RNAcentral lists this ribosomal RNA (513 nucleotides) under uncultured bacterium. RNAcentral describes it as "partial 16S ribosomal RNA". It matches the Rfam family "Bacterial small subunit ribosomal RNA", at positions 28 to 523 of the family's 1533-position model. The record is from RNAcentral.